AUUAACGUAGCAAAACAGGACAUGCAAAAGACCUAAACUCUUUCAAUAGGGGUCCAAAUCCCCUCGUUAACU
Molecule: transfer RNA, 72 nt
Filed under: Synapturanus sp. MNHN-RA-2020.0087
Lineage: Eukaryota; Metazoa; Chordata; Amphibia; Anura; Microhylidae
Description: tRNA-Leu
Rfam family: tRNA
About the family: Transfer RNA (tRNA) molecules are approximately 80 nucleotides in length.
Source: RNAcentral